This 120-nucleotide ribosomal RNA is filed under the name uncultured bacterium. RNAcentral describes it as "partial 16S ribosomal RNA". It matches the Rfam family "Bacterial small subunit ribosomal RNA", at positions 28 to 148 of the family's 1533-position model. The record is from RNAcentral.
GACGAACGCUGGCGGCGCGCUUAACACAUGCAAGUCGAACGGGGUUCACCCUUCGGGGUGGGUCCAGUGGCGAACGGGUGCGUAACACGUGAGCAACCUGCCCAUGCAUGGGGGAUAACC